RNAcentral lists this long non-coding RNA (1497 nucleotides) under Musa acuminata (dwarf banana). RNAcentral's name for it is "long non-coding RNA (MACU_LNC004158)". The record is from RNAcentral. Lineage: Eukaryota; Viridiplantae; Streptophyta; Magnoliopsida; Zingiberales; Musaceae.
UACCUUUAUAGCUGGAGAGUUCUUCUAACUCAUUGCAGUGAGGUCAACAUGGAAGACAUGGUUUUCCAGUAUUGAUCCUAACAUUUUCAAGAAUCACAUUGUGAUAUUUAUGUAGGAAUGAUUUUUCCAUGAAUUACUAAAGGAGGAUUGUUGAAACCAGAAAGUGAUGUGGUCUGCUGGCUAAAGUAUAGCUCCUGUACAUCAGAAUGAAGAGCUUGAUGCACAUAUGGAGUGACCCAGAGACAAGUUGAGGAAGUCAUCUUUAAUAAAUAUGAGUAGUGCAUGAGAACAUGUACCAGUUAAAGGGUGAAAGAUAAGAAUGUAGCCUAUUUCUUAUGCUUCAGGUAUUUUGUAACUGUGUGGUUUAGUAAAUGAUGCUUAAAAGUGGUAAAAACCAUAACUAUUUCUGGAAUCUGUGGUGAAUUCAAAAGGAUAUCAAGGAUUGAAAUAGGCACUGGUAUAGGAAUAGAAAGUCAGAGAAGGGGAAUGUUGUUGUUACUGCUACAUUAAUUGAGUAACAAGAUUCUUUUUAGUAGAUUUAGCUCAAAAGAUAGUGUGUAUAGCAGCAAUUUAAGUAUUACAAAUUUACUGGAUAUCUUUCAUGAUUUUUUAUUAUGUGUGAUUAAUUUAUCAAUGGUGCUAAUAGUACUUUCAAAGUUAAAUGAGGAAACUCUACAUAGAAAGGGUCAUAGUUAUUGUCAUCUGGCUGGAAAGAUUGUUUUAGCUGAAGCAAUUGUCAUGCAAAGUCAGUAGGAAAGAAUUCCACCUUUUGCAUGCUUUUAGUAGGAUGCUAAGACCAUCUAAUUGUUGAUUAGUGAGAAUUAGAUUUUAAAUUUUUGUAGCAAGUGGUGUGUUUUACAACAUUUGAUGUGGAUGAACUGAAUAAUUCCUAGUUUGCUAGGAUGAAAUUCACACAAAGUGUCUUUUGAAUUUGUUAUUUGCUGAUAUUACUGACUUUGGAUGUCUUGGUGCAUUUAUAUAUGAGACGGCUUACCGGCAGCAGAAGGGGCUAAAUCUGGAGUUAUUCAUGUUGGAAAUAAAACUGAUGAUCUCUAACUUUUCUGAUCAGCCAUCAGUGAAGUAUUAGUCCCACCUGAAAUGCUUCCCAUGAUUUAAUUGACUCUUUGGAAUGGGAGCUAAAAAAUCAAAAAAGCUUGUGCUGGUCUAUUGAACUUUGAUCUUCUGCUUUGUAGGAACUGGUUAAGAUGACUACCUGAUCCAUGUAUUGAAGUAUUGUUGUGUACUGUACCACAGCAUGAUACAUCACUAUCUUUUGAUCCCCUGCUGAUGCAUAUGCACAAUUCAUACCUUACAGGCAUCAGCAUUAACUAUUUCAUCUCAAGAACUGUGACACAUGCAGGCGCAAUACUGAACUUGAUAGUGAAGGAAUGGCAUGGGAAAACACAUUCCAUACUAGUAGUUGUUGUCUUUGUUUUCUGUGUGAUAUGUGUGCUCUACUUUAAGAACCUGUGGUAUAAUGAUUCAGAUGUGAAUAGU